GCCGGCGGUGGCAGCAGCGAGGGGGUGAUGAACCGACCCGUGUUAUCCCGGCCACGGACCGGCUGCCGGGGAGCGGCCGCCUUCGUUGUGCUUUAUCUCUCUGGCCUGGCACCAACAGCAUGGAGUUGAGUCCUUGAGAAUACCCACCAUGCCUGAGCGUGCCAUUCCUCUCAGCAGGCACCAGCACAGUUGGCUUGCAGGGAAGGUACCUGUUGCUCCAUCUGAUGCUGUCAAGUUUCUUCCAAACCCACCUUCACAACUCAGAUAAAGGAGAUGCAGAGACAGUGCAUGCUUUCCAGAGGAGACCUUGCUCUUGGUGCCAAGGAAUUUUCCUCCCUUCUGCACUUAUUUUAGCACAGCAGAGCUGCAAAGAUUUUAAGUGAUAAAUAAGAUGUGACAUAGCAAGAAUGACGAGACAGACAUCCAGUAAUGGCAGACAAAACCUCUGUUACAGGAAAUCACUUCCAUAUCAUACUUUCAAGAUCUGAGAGAUGUGUGCAUGCUUGCUAUCUUAGCAGAUCUGGUUUUGUUGUGCAACUUUAUCAGUAUUAUUAAUACUUAUUUGUGCUGGUGCAAUUUUUAGAGCAAAGCAUCCGGUGUGCUAUCAUGUUAGCAGCUUUGCAGUGUGCCGGUGGGCAUCCCUUUGAGAUUUAGCAGCUGAAUCCACUUGCCAUUCUUCAGGAUUUCCAGAAUUUCAGACACAUUCUGCUUCCCUUACAAUUGCUUUACUCACGGAAGGAAAAUUAAGCAGUAUCAGAACAGAACAAAAUCUGUUGGCUUUUCUUGGUAUCUUAAGACAAUCAGUGAUCAAAAGUUAAGAUGCAGAUUUAAGGGGAAUGGCAUGUCAGGAGAUGUCCACAACCAUGAAAUGUUGCCAUACAAAGCUACUGCAAAGUCAGAGGGUUAUGUAUGUGUUUUCCCCUCUGUUCUAUGAAGCUGUGCUCUCCCCUAAUGAAAAGAAGAUUGGGAAGCAAGGAGAGGGAAAGAAGUACAUUCCCCAAUAUGUGACUGCCCAACCUUCAUUUAAAUGAGUUGAUCUUGAGCUUCCAUUUAACAGAAAAAAUGGGAACAAAUCAGAAACCCCAACUGUUGCCAAAUCUGAACUUUUCUGUGUAGGUGAAUUAUCAAAAUAAAAUUGGAUGAAGUAGAUCAUAAAUGUGUUUUGACCUGCAGUUCCUCUUGUUUGCUUUACAUCAGAUAACUAUCACUUGUGAUCACUAGGUGAUAAACGAACAUCUUUGUUUAAACAAGUAAGCCUGGGAGCACCAACCAUGUCCCAUAAAUGCUGCUGUGAGAUGAAAUAUGGAGGGAAAAAUGGAUAAAUUGGGUAGUGCUGACUGAAACUGUGUGAUGUUCCCCUCUGCUGUAUUGGAGAUUUGAAGAAAACAGAUAAACUUGCAGACAAAAUCAAGUGAAUCUCCGAAGCUGCCACAUGACAUGAAAGCAUUUGUGACACGUGGAACUGCCCUUGUUUCAGCCUCCUCAGUUAGUGUCAUACGUGUCCUUUGCAAGUACAGGGUCUGCUCGGUUAGAUGAAUAUGCCAGAUUUGUGUUGCUCAAGAAGAAGCAGAAGCUUAAUGUCUUGAAGGUUCAGCUCAGCAGCGUGGCCAGGCAGUCUGCCCGUUAGGAUUGCAAGCCUCUUUCAUGCAUGGCCAGUUGCAAAGCUCUGUGCAGCAGGACUCGGCAAUGAAAAAUGUCAUCCACAAUUAUGCAUAUUUUCGUCAUCUUCUAUCAUGUAAAUCCCCUGCCCCAAGUGUGCAGCAAAUGUUUUGUUUGCAUAUGUAGGUCAACCACAAAUCUUCGGUGGUCUAACACAAGCACUGGAAGCAUAGGUUGAUGUAUACAGAUUUAAACCUGGUCUGAAGCAUAACCUAACCACAGACGUUUUCCAAGUGGAGUCUGUUUACUCGAUCUGUUUUCUUCUGACUUUUCAUUUUAUAAAGCAUUGCUUGCUUAAUGAUUUGUGAAAGCACAACUGACAGAAGAUACUCGCCAUCAUUGCAAAAGGAACUAUUAACUUCAGACACAGAUGGAUAGUUCUCAAUGAGUAGCUGUUAUAGUAAUAGCUUGAGAAAUGUGUUGUUUUUCAAAAUGGUACAUUGAAGUAUUUCUGCAAAUAGUUUUUCUUUUGCCACUGGCAGGAGGCCAGUUUUAUAUGAUUUUUAAAAAGAUUGUAUGUUCUUUUUGCAGAUUACACGCUGCUUAGUUUUCUUGUCUCGGCUAUCUUUAAAGAAAAAUACAGAAAAUACAUUUAUUGACCUUACGAUGCUAGAUAAAAGCUAGAAAUUCUGACUCGGUAACCAAAAAGCUUACUAGAAGCAGGCACAUUUAUUAUUUAAGAAAAACAUUACCUAUUAAACUCCUAAGCUUGAUGAGUUCCCAAGUCUAACUUGCGAAGUCUGUACACCACAAGUUGGCAGUGCAGUUCACCUUCAGUACGAGUUACGUGGGUCAGCUUGUUUCACCCUGAUGUGAAACUCAAAGUGCUCAGUUUAAUUGUCUGGGAAUGUGUAAUUCUUAGAAUGAGGUUUUCAGUGAGAAUAUUCCUCCAAAUACAUGUGGAGUGUCUGCUAGCAUGGUUCAGGGAAACAGGCUGAUGCCUGGACUGAUGCUCCAGUGUGUUACCCAUUGGUGCUCUGCAUCUGUAGAGUUGCUUUAUUGCCAAACUCACCCUUGGAUCUGACAACAACUAUGCACAUCAUGGCAAGGUGUGUAUUUACACACACAAAUGUCAGGUUAACCAUGUCCUGGUGUAAUGACCCAGUAAGUUUUGAUUUAGGGUAAGUAAGAGUGAAGUUGUUGCCCUAAGAGAUGAGUAGAAUACAGUAUCCUUCCCCAUUCCCAUAAAAUCAGACUAGCACCUCUGUUAUAUUUGAUAUCCUGAAUUUAACUCAUGGAAGUACAGGGACACUACAUUAGGAGUCAGAUCAGGGCUCUUACAAAGCCAAAAUACUGUGAGGUUGGAAUUGAAGUAUCUUGUGAAGGUAUGUGAUACUGUGCCAAUAAAUGUACACGUAUACCAAUACUCUUGUCAGAUUUCCUUCUGGGUAGGAGAGCACACCUUGUUCUGUCCUGCCUACAAACACCAUCAGCACUGUGGUGCUGAAAGAUGAUUCAGAAAAAAACAAACAUUGCUAUUUUCCCCAGCAUAGUCUUAACAGAUGCACAGUUCUAGAUAGAACACACAUUUGUGGUCAUUUAUUAUCACAAGAUAACAAUUUGUUCUCAUUAACAACUCCCUCUGAGCAAGGCUCUCAGGAAAUAGGCUCGUGUUUAAGAGCACACAGUAACUUUACAUUUCCCUUCUCCUCACAGGGGACAGCUGAUCUGAAGUUUCUUAUUUCUCUCCUGCUGCUAGAUCCAGCUUGCAGCAUUCAGCAGGAUACACUUGCCUUCUGCAAUUACCCUGCUACCUUAUUACUACUCAACCUAUAUUUUACUCCCCUACCUUGCAGUACCUGAAUACCACAUACAGUCUGACUUCCUGCUGCACACUACAGACCAUCUCUAUUUAUCUCAACAUGAAAUGAAGGUUUUAUCCAUACAGUACAGUGCAAACCAUGUAUGUGAUGUAUUGCAGAUUCUCUGGUAGAGAAACAACUAGUACCUUAUUAACCUGUAAGAAAUGUGGCUAUAUCAUAAUUAAAUAUAAAAGUGUU
Strigops habroptila (Kakapo) is the source of this 3659-nucleotide long non-coding RNA. RefSeq lists it as uncharacterized. The record is from RefSeq and is a predicted model, not a curated record. The transcript is spliced from 3 exons. NCBI's taxonomy places the organism in Eukaryota, Metazoa, Chordata, Aves, Psittaciformes, Psittacidae.